Molecule: ribosomal RNA, 607 nt
Filed under: Arthrobacter sp. N7
Lineage: Bacteria; Bacillati; Actinomycetota; Actinomycetes; Micrococcales; Micrococcaceae
Description: bacterial SSU rRNA
Rfam family: Bacterial small subunit ribosomal RNA
Source: RNAcentral
GGCGAACGGGUGAGUAACACGUGAGUAACCUGCCUUGACUCUGGGAUAAGCCUGGGAAACUGGGUCUAAUACUGGAUACGACCUUCCAUCGCAUGGUGGUUGGUGGAAAGCUUUUGUGGUUUUGGAUGGACUCGCGGCCUAUCAGCUUGUUGGUGGGGUAAUGGCCUACCAAGGCGACGACGGGUAGCCGGCCUGAGAGGGUGGACGGCCACACUGGGACUGAGACACGGCCCAGACUCCUACGGGAGGCAGCAGUGGGGAAUAUUGCACAAUGGGCGCAAGCCUGAUGCAGCGACGCCGCGUGAGGGAUGAAGGCCUUCGGGUUGUAAACCUCUUUCAGUAGGGAAGAAGCGAAAGUGACGGUACCUGCAGAAGAAGCGCCGGCUAACUACGUGCCAGCAGCCGCGGUAAUACGUAGGGCGCAAGCGUUAUCCGGAAUUAUUGGGCGUAAGAGCUCGUAGGCGGUUUGUCGCGUCUGCCGUGAAAGUCCGGGGCUUAACCCCGGAUCUGCGGUGGGUACGGGCAGACUUGAGUGAUGUAGGGGAGACUGGAAUUCCUGGUGUAGCGGUGAAAUGCGCAGAUUCAGGAGGCAACACCGAUUGCGAAG